UACAGAGGUCUCAAGCGUUGUUCGGAUUCAUUGGGCGUAAAGGGUGCGUAGGUGGCGCCGUAAGUCAGGUGUGAAAUUUCGGAGCUUAACUCCGAAACUGCAUUCGAUACUGCGGUGCUUGAGGACUGGAGAGGAGACUGGAAUUCAUGGUGUAGCAGUGAAAUGCGUAGAGAUCAUGAGGAAGACCAGUGGCGAAGGCGGGUCUCUGGACAGUUCCUGACACUGAGGCACGAAGGCCAGGGGAGCAAACGGG
This 253-nucleotide ribosomal RNA is filed under the name uncultured bacterium. Its description in RNAcentral is "partial 16S ribosomal RNA". It matches the Rfam family "Bacterial small subunit ribosomal RNA", at positions 524 to 776 of the family's 1533-position model. The record is from RNAcentral.